UUGGAGGGCAAGUCUGGUGCCAGCAGCCGCGGUAAUUCCAGCUCCAAUAGCGUAUAUUAAAGUUGUUGCAGUUAAAAAGCUCGUAGUUGAACCUCGGGGUCUACCCAUUGGUCAGGCUUAAUUGUCUGCACUGGUGAGAUGGAUCCCUACCUUCUGAGGAACUUUCAUGCCAUUCAUUUGGUGUGAUGGGAAAUCAGGACUGUUACUUUGAAAAAAUUAGAGUGUUUAAAGCAGACUAUCGUCUGAAUACAUUAGCAUGGAAUAAUGAAAUAGGACGGACUGAUUCUAUUUCGUUGGUUUCUAGGAUCACCGUAAUGAUUAAUAGGGAUAGUUGGGGGCAUUAGUAUUCAAUUGUCAGAGGUGAAAUUCUUGGAUUUAUUGAAGACUAACUACUGCGAAAGCAUUUGCCAAGGAUGUUUUCAUUAAUCAAGAACGAAAGUUAGGGGAUCGAAGACGAUCAGAUACCGUCGUAGUCUUAACCAUAAACUAUGCCGACUAGGGAUCGGACGAAGUUAAUUUUAUAAUGACGCGUUCGGCGCCUUACGGGAAAC
Molecule: ribosomal RNA, 551 nt
Filed under: uncultured Diversispora
Lineage: Eukaryota; Fungi; Glomeromycota; Glomeromycetes; Diversisporales; Diversisporaceae
Description: SSU rRNA
Rfam family: Eukaryotic small subunit ribosomal RNA
Source: RNAcentral